CUAGCAAGUGUUCUUAGAGCUUUCCUUUUUUUUUCCCUUCCUUCUCUUCCUUUUAGGUAAAAUAUUGCUACAUGUGUAAGUUUGGAGAGGAAAAAAAGAGUAAAAUCAAUAGCAAUCAUUAAUGACCUCUUCCCUAUGAUUUCCAAAGCUGGAAAUGUGUGUGUAUAGCUGUUUUGAAUUGCUGAUUAAUGAAAUUAAGCCUCAAUUAGCGAGACCAAAAAAGUGGUGGGUCUGGCUUUUUUCCUUUUCCUUUUCUUUUUCCCCUCCCACUUGUGAAGGGGAAAUAGUUGCUUUAGAACAAGAAGUGAAGCGGAGGAAGCUCUUUAGUAUUUGGUAAUGCAAUGGCUGGAAGAUCACUAACUAUCAGAUUAACCAGGUGGACACACUGGGUAUCAGCAAUUAUUCUGCUGCUAUGGAGUCAUCAGAUCAGUGGGCAAGGACAAGAACUGCCAGGAAGAACCUUAUUAUUGGUUCAGCAGUCUCUGCUGGAGAGUUGAAACAGGCUUCAUGAAAGAACUGAAGCUUCAGCCUUAAUGCGAAGUGACUAACGCAGGCCUCAUAAUAAAGUUCUUAAAAUAAAUUUUGAAAAUAC
Gallus gallus (chicken) is the source of this 592-nucleotide long non-coding RNA. Lineage: Eukaryota; Metazoa; Chordata; Aves; Galliformes; Phasianidae. The record is from Ensembl.